Molecule: ribosomal RNA, 258 nt
Filed under: uncultured bacterium
Lineage: Bacteria
Description: partial 16S ribosomal RNA
Rfam family: Bacterial small subunit ribosomal RNA
Source: RNAcentral
CAGCGAAGCCGCGAGGCAGAGCGAAUCCCCCAAAGCCACUCCCAGUUCGGAUUGCAGGCUGCAACCCGCCUGCAUGAAGUCGGAAUCGCUAGUAAUCGCAGGUCAGCAUACUGCGGUGAAUACGGUUCCCGGGCCUUGUACACACCCGCCCGUCACACCACGAAAGUUGGUAACACCCGAAGCCGGCGAACCGACGCGCAAGCGAGGGAACCGUCGAAGGUGGGAUCGAUGAUUGGGGUGAAGUCGUAACAAGGUACC